UAAAAAACAGCAUGACAUUUGUGUAUAAACGACAUAUAGUUCGUAUAAAAACGACACGAAGUUUAUCUAUUCGAAAUGGAUCAGAACGAGUCAAUAAGAGAGAAACUUGCGGAGAAAGCUGCUCAACGUUCCAUUCCGAGAUCUUUGAGAGAUUUUCGGAAAACGGUCACAACAGUUUCGAAAAACCACUCCUCGUUUCCUUUUUAAAUACAGACUC
RNAcentral lists this long non-coding RNA (217 nucleotides) under Brassica napus (rape). Its description in RNAcentral is "long non-coding RNA (BNAP_LNC009631)". Lineage: Eukaryota; Viridiplantae; Streptophyta; Magnoliopsida; Brassicales; Brassicaceae. The record is from RNAcentral.